GACGAACGCUGGCGGCGUGCCUAAUACAUGCAAGUAGAACGCUUAAGAGAGGAGCUUGCUCUUCUUGGAUGAGUUGCGAACGGGUGAGUAACGCGUAGGUAACCUGCCUUGUAGCGGGGGAUAACUAUUGGAAACGAUAGCUAAUACCGCAUAACAAUGGAUGACACAUGUCAUUUAUUUGAAAGGGGCAAUUGCUCCACUACAAGAUGGACCUGCGUUGUAUUAGCUAGUAGGUGAGGUAAUGGCUCACCUAGGCGACGAUACAUAGCCGACCUGAGAGGGUGAUCGGCCACACUGGGACUGAGACACGGCCCAGACUCCUACGGGAGGCAGCAGUAGGGAAUCUUCGGCAAGGGGGGCAACCCUGACCGAGCAACGCCGCGUGAGUGAAGAAGGGUGUCGGAUCGGAAAGCUCUGUUGUAAGUCAAGAACGGGUGUGAGAGUGGAAAGUUCACACUGUGACGGUAGCUUACCAGAAAGGGACGGCUAACUAUGUG
RNAcentral lists this ribosomal RNA (497 nucleotides) under uncultured bacterium. RNAcentral describes it as "partial 16S ribosomal RNA". It matches the Rfam family "Bacterial small subunit ribosomal RNA", at positions 28 to 507 of the family's 1533-position model. The record is from RNAcentral.